GAUCCUGGCUCAGGAUGAACGCUGGCGGCGUGCUUAACACAUGCAAGUCGAACGAAGCACUUUAUUUGAUUUCCUUCGGGACUGAUUAUUUUGUUGACUGAGUGGCGGACGGGUGAGUAACGCGUGGGUAACCUGCCUUGUACAGGGGGAGUAACAGUUGGAAACGGCUGCUAAUACCGCAUAAGCGCACGGCAUCGCAUGAUGCAGUGUGAAAAACUCCGGUGGUAUAAGAUGGACCCGCGUUGG
RNAcentral lists this ribosomal RNA (246 nucleotides) under uncultured bacterium. Its description in RNAcentral is "partial 16S ribosomal RNA". It matches the Rfam family "Bacterial small subunit ribosomal RNA", at positions 15 to 239 of the family's 1533-position model. The record is from RNAcentral.